RNAcentral lists this ribosomal RNA (300 nucleotides) under uncultured Oceanospirillaceae bacterium. RNAcentral describes it as "bacterial SSU rRNA". It matches the Rfam family "Bacterial small subunit ribosomal RNA", at positions 114 to 418 of the family's 1533-position model. The record is from RNAcentral. Lineage: Bacteria; Pseudomonadati; Pseudomonadota; Gammaproteobacteria; Oceanospirillales; Oceanospirillaceae.
CGCGUAGGAACCUACCUAGUAGUUUGGGAUAGCCCAGAGAAAUUUGGAUUAAUACCGAAUACGCCUACGGGGGAAAGUGGAGGAUCUUCGGACUUCACGCUAUUAGAUGGGCCUGCGUAAGAUUAGCUUGUUGGUGAGGUAAUGGCUCACCAAGGCGACGAUCUUUAGCUGGUUUGAGAGGAUGAUCAGCCACACUGGGACUGAGACACGGCCCAGACUCCUACGGGAGGCAGCAGUGGGGAAUAUUGCACAAUGGGCUAACGCCUGAUGCAGCCAUACCGCGUGUGUGAAGAAGGCUCU